AUCUAUAGUUGUUUAAUUCAUGUCAUGUUUCUUUCUUAUGCAGGAUGACAAAAUCUUGGUUAGUACUAUUGUUGCUUUAUAAAAAGAAGGAAAUAGUGCAUUUCACUUGGUCAGUAUGAAUUUCUGUAAGAAAGAAAUAUGUAGCCAAAAGAAUAAACUUUAUGAUUGUUUGACUACGUAUUUGAUUGAAGUCUUUUGCUUUUCCUUUUUCCUGUACAUAGUGUAGCUUCUUGAUAAAGCUUAUUCCUACUGAGUUGAUCAAAGCUUAUCAAAAGGCCAUACUGAAUACACAUCCGUCGCUUCUUCCAGCAUUUGGUGGAAAAGGGUAUUACGGUAUGAAGGUGCACAAAACAGUCAUUGCAUCUGGAGCAAAGUAUGAAAAAAUGCCAACCAUUUUCACUUUUUUUUCAUUAUCAUAUGAUUCUGCUGCUUCCGUUUUCCUUCUCAUUAUCACUCUGAUGUAUUUUUUUAUUAUAACUAAUCUGAUGUUUACUUUUACUAUCAAACUAUAUCUGUUGUUUAUUUUUAUAUCAAAGGCCCUUGAUUAUUUGGUUUGAAGUGAUUAAAUGGAGGAUAUGCAUCGCAUCUAACUUAUAAAUCCUCAAAAAGUAAACAACUUCCUAGGGGUUACACUUACAUGCCCUUUCUUGUGUUACUAUAUCUAUAGAUUUGGGUUCCCAUGUGUUUUUCCAUAUGGUUGAUGAUGACGGUGCUGUGUUGGUUAUCGAGCUUCUAUUGCUUGUACAGAUUAGCCUCAUUACAUUUUUGGUAGUAAAUGUUUGCUUCUCAACAAUGCUUCUCUUCUCAAUGAUCGGAACCCUGAAGUGAGAUCCCUAUAUCUCUUUCUCUCCUUCCACAUUGUACAUUCAUUUCUAUCUCUUAAAAGAAUUUACAGAGCCAAAUAAUGGAAAUGCCGCUGUUUUGGAGAUGCUGACAGUCUUGCCUGAAAUCGUUGAAGAUUAAAAUGGUGAUUUCCGUGUAACCUCUGCUCGACAUAAAGAGUAUGGACAAGAGGUUUUGCAAUCUGAUUCAUGCAACUUCACUGGAUUUUUCUUAUAUUAGUUCGGACCUGGUGGGCAACUUAAACUUGCAGAUUUUGGGUUAGCUCGUAUAUUCGGGAGCCCUGAUCGAAGGUUCACACAUCAGAAUAGGGCAUUGGAGAUAUCAUCUGAUUUAAAGUGAAGUAGGGAACAUCCAUAUUUCUUGUUGGUGAGAAUAUUUAUAACAAACUUGUGCAUCUCUACAUAUUUAGGACUUUGUUUGUUAGGUUUAAAUUAUAUAACGAACUUUGUUUAUUGGAAUGUACGUAGCACUUGGAUUGUAUGACUACGUUGUGGGGAGUGUCAAGUGGCUAAUAUUGAUAUCAUUUGAUCUCAUCAGCUCUCUUUCUCUUUCUCUAGUUUUGAGAAGUGCACAAGUCACCAUGAGAGAUAGGCAACAUAUUAUGACUUUCAACGGAGCUUGUGCACUUCUUUUGUUGCUUAAUUUAUGCACAAGUCACCUCAAGCUCCAUUUCUUAUAAUGCUCUCUAUUUGCUUUAUCAACAAUUUAGAUUUUUGGGCAGGAAAGUGAAGGCGGAUUUCUGAAAUUGAAGAAAACAAGUGAAUGGCUGUUGGGAGACGUUGACUCAGCACCAAGGUUCUUGCCGUUACGGUCAAAUUUAUUCUAAAAGAUGUUGAGUAGAGAAACACAUCAUUUAAUCUGAGGCUGUUACUUCAGGUUUGUGGUGGAUUAAAUGAGCCGUACGUUGAGCUGAAGAGUCUUGUGAAUUAACAAGAAAAGUUGUACCGGAUGGCUAGCUAGUUACAUAUUUAAUAUGUUUAGUAUUUUUGUAAGGAAUAAUAGUAUAGAUAAAGC
This is a long non-coding RNA of Salvia miltiorrhiza (redroot sage), 1857 nucleotides long. RefSeq lists it as uncharacterized. NCBI's taxonomy places the organism in Eukaryota, Viridiplantae, Streptophyta, Magnoliopsida, Lamiales, Lamiaceae. The record is from RefSeq and is a predicted model, not a curated record. The transcript has 4 exons.